RNAcentral lists this microRNA (21 nucleotides) under Mus musculus (house mouse). RNAcentral describes it as "mmu-miR-7065-3p". The record is from miRBase by way of RNAcentral. Lineage: Eukaryota; Metazoa; Chordata; Mammalia; Rodentia; Muridae.
UUGGUUUUCCUGUUUGCACAG